UAGGGAAUCUUCGGCAAUGGGGGGAACCCUGACCGAGCAACGCCGCGUGAGUGAAGAAGGUUUUCGGAUCGUAAAGCUCUGUUGUUAAGGAAGAACGAGUGUGAGAAUGGAAAGUUCAUACUGUGACGGUACUUAACCAGAAAGGGACGGCUGACUACGUGCCAGCAGCCGCGGUAAUACGUAGGUCCCGAGCGUUGUCCGGAUUUAUUGGGCGUAAAGCGAGCGCAGGCGGUUGGAUAAGUCUGAAGUUAAAGGCAGUGGCUCAACCAUUGUAGGCUUUGGAAACUGUUUAACUUGAGUGCAGAAGGGGAGAGUGGAAUUCCAUGUGUAGCGGUGAAAUGCGUAGAUAUAUGGAGGAACACCGGUGGCGAAAGCGGCUCUCUGGUCUGUAACUGACGCUGAGGCUCGAAAGCGUGGGGAGCGAACAGG
Molecule: ribosomal RNA, 429 nt
Filed under: Bacteroidota bacterium
Lineage: Bacteria; Pseudomonadati; Bacteroidota
Description: Bacteroidetes bacterium partial 16S ribosomal RNA
Rfam family: Bacterial small subunit ribosomal RNA
Source: RNAcentral